AACGAACGCUGGCGGCAUGCCUAACACAUGCAAGUCGAACGAGACCUUCGGGUCUAGUGGCGCACGGGUGCGUAACGCGUGGGAACCUGCCCUUAGGUUCGGAAUAACUCCCCGAAAGGGGUGCUAAUACCGGAUAAUGUCUUCGGACCAAGGAUUUAUCGCCUUUGGAUGGGCCCGCGUUGGAUUAGCUAGUUGGUAGGGUAAAAGCCUACCAAGGCGACGAUCCAUAGCUGGUCUGAGAGGAUGAUCAGCCACACUGGGACUGAGACACGGCCCAGACUCCUACGGGAGGCAGCAGUGGGGAAUAUGGGACACCGGGCGAAAGCCUGAGCCAUCAAUGCCGCGUGAGUGAUGAAGGCCUUAGGGUUGUAAAGCUCUUUUACCCGGGAUGAUAAGGCCAGUACCGGGAGAAUAAGCUCCGCCUACCUCCGU
RNAcentral lists this ribosomal RNA (432 nucleotides) under uncultured bacterium. RNAcentral describes it as "partial 16S ribosomal RNA". It matches the Rfam family "Bacterial small subunit ribosomal RNA", at positions 29 to 506 of the family's 1533-position model. The record is from RNAcentral.